UGGAGCAUGUGGUUUAAUUCGAUGCAACGCGAAGAACCUUACCUGGGCUUGACAUCCCGAUCGCACCUUAUGGAAACAUAGGGGUCAGUUCGGCUGGAUCGGUGACAGGUGCUGCAUGGCUGUCGUCAGCUCGUGUCGUGAGAUGUUGGGUUAAGUCCCGCAACGAGCGCAACCCUUGUCCUUAGUUGCCAGCAUUCAGUUGGGCACUCUAAGGAGACUGCCGGUGUCAAACCGGAGGAAGGUGGGGAUGACGUCAAGUCCUCAUGGCCCUUAUGUCCAGGGCUACACACGUGCUACAAUGGCCGGUACAAAGGGGCGCAAGACCGCGAGGUGGAGCAAAUCCCAAAAAACCGGUCUCAGUUCGGAUUGGAGUCUGCAACUCGACUCCAUGAAGUUGGAAUCGCUAGUAAUCGCGUAUCAGCAUGACCGCGGUCGAAUACGUUCCCGGGCCUU
Molecule: ribosomal RNA, 453 nt
Filed under: uncultured Desulfuromonas sp.
Lineage: Bacteria; Pseudomonadati; Thermodesulfobacteriota; Desulfuromonadia; Desulfuromonadales; Desulfuromonadaceae
Description: bacterial SSU rRNA
Rfam family: Bacterial small subunit ribosomal RNA
Source: RNAcentral